CCUACGGGAGGCAGCAGUAGGGAAUCUUCCGCAAUGGACGAAAGUCUGACGGAGCAACGCCGCGUGAACGAUGAAGGCCUUCGGGUCGUAAAGUUCUGUUGUUAGGGAAGAACAAGUGUUAGUUGAAUAAGCUGGCACCUUGACGGUACCUAACCAGAAAGCCACGGCUAACUACGUGCCAGCAGCCGCGGUAAUACGUAGGUGGCAAGCGUUGUCCGGAAUUAUUGGGCGUAAAGCGCGCGCAGGCGGUUUCUUAAGUCUGAUGUGAAAGCCCCCGGCUCAACCGGGGAGGGUCAUUGGAAACUGGGAAACUUGAGUGCAGAAGAGGAAAGUGGAAUUCCAAGUGUAGCGGUGAAAUGCGUAGAGAUUUGGAGGAACACCAGUGGCGAAGGCGACUUUCUGGUCUGUAACUGACGCUGAGGCGCGAAAGCGUGGGGAGCAAACAGGAUUAGAUACCCUGGUAGUCCACGCUGUAAACGAUGAGUGCUAAGUGUUAGAGGGUUUCCGCCCUUUAGUGCUGAAGUUAACGCAUUAAGCACUCCGCCUGGGGAGUACGGUCGCAAGACUGAAACUCAAAAUGAAUUGACGG
Molecule: ribosomal RNA, 589 nt
Filed under: uncultured bacterium
Lineage: Bacteria
Description: bacterial SSU rRNA
Rfam family: Bacterial small subunit ribosomal RNA
Source: RNAcentral